GGUAACAGGAGAAAGCUUGCUUUCUUGCUGACGAGUGGCGGACGGGUGAGUAAUGCUUGGGAAUCUGGCUUAUGGAGGGGGAUAACGACGGGAAACUGUCGCUAAUACCGCGUAGUGUCGAGAGACGAAAGUGCGGGACUGAGAGGCCGCAUGCCAUAGGAUGAGCCCAAGUGGGAUUAGGUAGUUGGUGGGGUAAAGGCCUACCAAGCCUGCGAUCUCUAGCUGGUCUGAGAGGAUGACCAGCCACACUGGAACUGAGACACGGUCCAGACUCCUACGGGAGGCAGCAGUNGGGAAUAUUGCGCAAUGGGGGGAACCCUGACGCAGCCAUGCCGCGUGAAUUAAGAAGGCCUUCGGGUUGUAAAGUUCUUUCGGUAUUGAGGAAGGUUGAUGUGUUAAUAGCACAUCAAAUUGACGUUAAAUACAGAAGAAGCACCGGCUAACUCCGUGCCAGCAGCCGCGGUAAUACGGAGGGUGCGAGCGUUAAUCGGAAUAACUGGGCGUAAAGGGCACGCAGGCGGUUAUUUAAGUGAGGUGUGAAAGCCCCGGGCUUAACCUGGGAAUUGCAUUUCAGACUGGGUAACUAGAGUACUUUAGGGAGGGGUAGAAUUCCACGUGUAGCGGUGAAAUGCGUAGAGAUGUGGAGGAAUACCGAAGGCGAAGGCAGCCCCUUGGGAAUGUACUGACGCUCAUGUGCGAAAGCGUGGGGAGCAAACAGGAUUAGAUACCCUGGUAGUCCGCACAGUAAACGAUG
RNAcentral lists this ribosomal RNA (754 nucleotides) under uncultured Haemophilus sp. RNAcentral describes it as "bacterial SSU rRNA". It matches the Rfam family "Bacterial small subunit ribosomal RNA", at positions 68 to 811 of the family's 1533-position model. Lineage: Bacteria; Pseudomonadati; Pseudomonadota; Gammaproteobacteria; Pasteurellales; Pasteurellaceae. The record is from RNAcentral.